GCCGGUGUAGCUCAGGGGUAGAGCGUUUCCUUGGUAAGGAAGAGGUCACGAGUUCAAAUCUCGUCAUCGGCUCUA
RNAcentral lists this transfer RNA (75 nucleotides) under Capnocytophaga haemolytica. RNAcentral's name for it is "tRNA-Thr". It matches the Rfam family "tRNA". Rfam says of the family: Transfer RNA (tRNA) molecules are approximately 80 nucleotides in length. Their secondary structure includes four short double-helical elements and three loops (D, anti-codon, and T loops). The record is from RNAcentral. Lineage: Bacteria; Pseudomonadati; Bacteroidota; Flavobacteriia; Flavobacteriales; Flavobacteriaceae.